GAAAGUCACCUCGUUGAGAUUUGUGAAUGAGACUUGGAACAUAUUCUUGUCCAGAUGACAUCUAGUGGGGUUUGGGAAUUGGGGUAGAGUUCCCACUUUCGACUUCGGUGUUCUUUGCGGUUGAAGGUUGAUAUCCGAGAAGUUUCCACCAUCAGAGAUUAUCUGAAUAUUUGAAGUAACCCCCUAGCUAAUGGAGCUUGGAGCAUGAUGCUGGACACAGAGUCGGAAUUCUGAAUGCCCCAUCAAGCUGUAAUUGUUUCUCUGCUAGUUACCAUAUGAUGUCUCCCCCAAUCAAGAUUUGGAAGUUGUUAGUUAUACAAUUAUGUUAGGUAAUGAUUACAGACAGUUGUCAUUUUUAUUUUGAUUUGAUUUCACUUCUCUUCCUUAUUUCCCUUGCAUUCAGACUGAGCCUGUGUGACUGCAAUUUUCGACCAUGUGCCGCAUAAGUAGUUCCUUGAAUAUCGGUGAUAGCCUACAUCAGACUGCAAUCACCAUUGUUGAAUGUUCUUCUUCCUUUUAAGUUAAAAGCCUUUAGUCUCUUGUCAA
Molecule: long non-coding RNA, 546 nt
Organism: Macadamia integrifolia
Lineage: Eukaryota; Viridiplantae; Streptophyta; Magnoliopsida; Proteales; Proteaceae
Exons: 3
Source: RefSeq, a predicted model, not a curated record